GACGAACGCUGGCGGCGUGCUUAACACAUGCAAGUCGAACGGAAAGGCCCUGCUUUUGUGGGGUGCUCGAGUGGCGAACGGGUGAGCAACACGUGAGUAACCUGCCCUUGACUUUGGGAUAACUUCAGGAAACUGGGGCUAAUACCGGAUAGGAGCUCCUGCUGCAUGGUGGGGGUUGGAAAGUUUCGGCGGUUGGGGAUGGACUCGCGGCUUAUCAGCUUGUUGGUGGGGUAGUGGCUUACCAAGGCUUUGACGGGUAGCCGGCCUGAGAGGGUGACCGGCCACAUUGGGACUGAGAUACGGCCCAGACUCCUACGGGAGGCAGCAGUGGGGGAUAUUGCACAAUGGGCGGAAGCCUGAUGCAGCAACGCCGCGUGCGGGAUGACGGCCUUCGGGUUGUAAACCGCUUUCGCCUGUGACGAAGCGUGAGUGACGGUAAUGGGUAAAGAAGCACCGGCUAACUACGUG
RNAcentral lists this ribosomal RNA (468 nucleotides) under uncultured bacterium. RNAcentral's name for it is "partial 16S ribosomal RNA". It matches the Rfam family "Bacterial small subunit ribosomal RNA", at positions 28 to 507 of the family's 1533-position model. The record is from RNAcentral.